This 229-nucleotide ribosomal RNA is filed under the name uncultured bacterium. RNAcentral's name for it is "partial 16S ribosomal RNA". It matches the Rfam family "Bacterial small subunit ribosomal RNA", at positions 568 to 796 of the family's 1533-position model. The record is from RNAcentral.
GGUGUAGGUGGCUAAAUAAGUCAGAAGUGAAAGCCCUGGGCUCAACCCAGGAAGUGCUUUUGAUACUGUUUAGCUUGAGUAUGGGAGAGGGUAGUAGAAUUUCUGGUGUAGUGGUGAAAUACGUAGAUAUCAGAAGGAAUAUCGGUGGCGAAGGCGGCUACCUGGCCCAAUACUGACACUCAGACCCGAAAGCGUGGGGAGCAAACAGGAUUAGAUACCCUGGUAGUCC